GGUUACGACUUCGUAGAAGCCACCAUCUGUUACGCUUCAGAUCCGGCAACACCCUCUUACGCUUCAGCUCCGGCAACGACCUCCCACUUUCUUAAAUCAUUAAUUACCAACGUUGAGUAUUAUUGCCCUCAUCAUCACCGCACCUCCUCUGCCAUCAUCUCCUCACUUCUCAGAUUUUGGGCAUCGCUUACAAUCACGAAGGAGACUCUUUGACGAAUGACGGGUAACAAUUUCUCAAUUUCUCGUAUUAUAAAAAAGAAAAGUGAAAAAAAAGGAUAAAGAAACCCUAGAGAUCGAUCCCGAUGGGAGAGAGGUCGCCGGCGACGGACGAGGCUGCGGAUCGAGGGCUGAUGGAGGAGGCGACGAGGCUAGGGGAGCUCGCGUGGGAGCUUCAGGAGUCGGCGUCGUCGCUGAUCUCGAGAACGUUGAACUAGGAGCAGGGACUUUGGCAGCGGGCGCUUUCCCUAGAGUCCGAUCUCAGGAAGCUGAAGACCGCUGCCAAUUCCGCUAUCCGCAGGGGCGAAAUCGAUCGGAGGAAUGCUGAGAAGCUAGAUGAAGAAUUAUACCGUGCAAAAUGCCAUAUUUCAGAGGGGGAUGUGUCAUCUCUUCUUCCAAA
This is a long non-coding RNA of Asparagus officinalis (garden asparagus), 616 nucleotides long. RefSeq lists it as uncharacterized. The record is from RefSeq and is a predicted model, not a curated record. The transcript is spliced from 3 exons. Lineage: Eukaryota; Viridiplantae; Streptophyta; Magnoliopsida; Asparagales; Asparagaceae.